RNAcentral lists this ribosomal RNA (368 nucleotides) under uncultured organism. RNAcentral's name for it is "bacterial SSU rRNA". It matches the Rfam family "Bacterial small subunit ribosomal RNA", at positions 526 to 896 of the family's 1533-position model. The record is from RNAcentral.
CGGAGGGUGCAAGCGUUAUCCGGAUUUACUGGGUUUAAAGGGUGCGUAGGUGGGUAGGUAAGUCAGUGGUGAAAUCUUCGAGCUUAACUCGGAAACUGCCAUUGAUACUAUUUAUCUUGAAUACUUUGGAGGUAAGCGGAAUAUGUCAUGUAGCGGUGAAAUGCUUAGAUAUGACAUAGAACACCAAUUGCGAAGGCAGCUUACUACACAGUUAUUGACACUGAGGCACGAAAGCGUGGGGAUCAAACAGGAUUAGAUACCCUGGUAGUCCACGCCCUAAACGAUGGAUACUCGACAUUAGCGAUACACAGUUAGUGUCUGAGCGAAAGCAUUAAGUAUCCCACCUGGGAAGUACGAUCGCAAGAUUG